AGUUUUAUAUUUAAUAUAUAAUAUUAAAUUGCAAAUUUAAAGUAAUAAAUAUUUUUUAUUAAAACUU
This 67-nucleotide transfer RNA is filed under the name Gonatocerus sp. ZCS-2018. Its description in RNAcentral is "tRNA-Cys". Lineage: Eukaryota; Metazoa; Arthropoda; Insecta; Hymenoptera; Mymaridae. The record is from RNAcentral.